Long non-coding RNA from Lycium barbarum (goji berry), 859 nucleotides. RefSeq lists it as uncharacterized. The record is from RefSeq and is a predicted model, not a curated record. NCBI's taxonomy places the organism in Eukaryota, Viridiplantae, Streptophyta, Magnoliopsida, Solanales, Solanaceae. The transcript is spliced from 2 exons.
UGUUUUUAGCUUUUUUGAGUGUUUGGCUGGCUAACUUAAAGUCAUUUUGUGCUUAAAAUAAGCUCAAAAAAAUAAUUGGGCCCAUUUGACUUAGCUUAUUUAAAGCAGUUUAUAAGCUAAAAAAAAAAAUUAGACUACCUCAACUUAUAUUUUUAACUUAUAAGUUGUUUGCAGCUUAUAGGCACAUAAGCCCAUCCAAACAUGCUCUAUGUCUCUUAACACUUGUAUAAAAGGAAUCAGAUUCAGAUCUAAUUUGUGUGCAACAAGAACAACUAGUUGGGUUAUAAGUCAAGAGUUAGAGCAGAAAAAGAAGAUGGUAGUUUGUUGGCAACUGGGGCCCCAAAAUUGGUGUCGACUAUCCCUUCCUAUUGGCCUGCGCCGUGCCCAAUCAAACUACACCACAUAUGUUGAGAUGGAGGGAGUAUGUGCUUGUUUUCUUUGCAUAAAAACAGUUAUGGCUUAGCUUCAUGGAGCAAAACAAGGCGGCAGACCUUUUGGCCAAGGAAGGAGGGAAGCAGCAGAUUUUUGAGGAAAUGAAAAUAUUAGAAGUACCUCCUAAUUUUGUAAUAAAUGUGGGACUGUCUUUGAAAGGUCUGUACCUUUUUGUGCCACUCAUGGGGGUGAUUCUUUUGGACAACUAAAUGGCUCUCAUGCCAUAAAAGCUGAUGUAACUAGUAUGUAGGUAUUUAAUAUAUCAGUAGUAUCUGUUUAACAAAAAAAAAAAGUCUUUUUUUUUGCUGCAUUUGGAGUUAAUACCUUGUAAUUUUGUAUAAUCCCAGAGAUGAGAACAAAUCUCAACAGCAUCUGAUUCUUGCUAUUGUGCUCUUUCUUUAUCAAUGUGAAACUUACAAAUUCAAUC